UCGAGAAUCUUCCGCAAUGGACGAAAGUCUGACGGAGCGACGCCGCGUGCGGGAUGAAGGCCCUUGGGUUGUAAACCGCUGUCAGAGGGGAUGAAAUCUUCGGAGGUACUCCUCCGAAGUUGACAGAGCCUCAAAGGAAGCACGGGCUAAGUACGUGCCAGCAGCCGCGGUAACACGUACUGUGCGAACGUUAUUCGGAAUCACUGGGCUUAAAGGGUGCGUAGGCGGCGAUUCAAGUCAGAUGUGAAAUGCCUGAGCUCAACUGAGGCAUUGCGUUUGAAACUGAUUCGCUGGAGUAUUUCAGGGGUGUGCGGAACUGCCAGUGGAGCGGUGAAAUGUGUUGAUAUUGGCAGGAACACCGGAGGCGAAAGCGGCACACUGGGGAAUAACUGACGCUGAGGCACGAAAGCGUGGGGAGCAAACAGGAUUAGAUACCCCUGUAGUCCCUGAGCGGCUGGCAAGGCGCAU
This 468-nucleotide ribosomal RNA is filed under the name uncultured bacterium. Its description in RNAcentral is "bacterial SSU rRNA". It matches the Rfam family "Bacterial small subunit ribosomal RNA", at positions 355 to 825 of the family's 1533-position model. The record is from RNAcentral.